AGUGGCGAACGGGUGAGUAAAGUAUCGGAACGUGCCCAGUCGUGGGGGAUAACGUAGCGAAAGUUACGCUAAUACCGCAUACGAUCUAUGGAUGAAAGCGGGGGAUCGCAAGACCUCGCGCGAUUGGAGCGGCCGAUAUCAGAUUAGGUAGUUGGUGGGGUAAAGGCUCACCAAGCCGACGAUCUGUAGCUGGUCUGAGAGGACGACCAGCCACACUGGGACUGAGACACGGCCCAGACUCCUACGGGAGGCAGCAGUGGGGAAUUUUGGACAAUGGGCGCAAGCCUGAUCCAGCCAUGCCGCGUGCAGGAUGAAGGCCUUCGGGUUGUAAACUGCUUUUGUACGGAACGAAAAGGUUUGGCCUAAUAAGCUGAGCUCAUGACGGUACCGUAAGAAUAAGCACCGGCUAACUACGUGCCAGCAGCCGCGGUAAUACGUAGGGUGCGAGCGUUAAUCGGAAUUACUGGGCGUAAAGCGUGCGCAGGCGGUUAUGUAAGACAGAUGUGAAAUCCCCGGGCUCAACCUGGGAACUGCAUUAGUGACUGCAUAGCUGGAGUACGGCAGAGGGGGGAUGGAAUUCCGCGUGUAGCAGUGAAAUGCGUAGAUAUGCGGAGGAACACCGAUGGCGAAUGCAAUCCCCUAGGCCUGUACUGACGCUCAUGCACGAAAGCGUGG
RNAcentral lists this ribosomal RNA (675 nucleotides) under uncultured Curvibacter sp. Its description in RNAcentral is "bacterial SSU rRNA". It matches the Rfam family "Bacterial small subunit ribosomal RNA", at positions 94 to 764 of the family's 1533-position model. Lineage: Bacteria; Pseudomonadati; Pseudomonadota; Betaproteobacteria; Burkholderiales; Comamonadaceae. The record is from RNAcentral.